ACGUAGGGGACGAGCGUUGUCCGGAUUCAUUGGGCGUAAAGCGCGCGUAGGCGGUUGCGCAAGUCGGUUGUGAAAAUCCGGGGCUCAACCCCGGACCUGCAUCCGAUACUGCGUGACUAGAGGUAGGUAGGGGAGAUCGGAAUUCCUGGUGUAGCGGUGAAAUGCGCAGAUAUCAGGAGGAACACCGGUGGCGAAGGCGGAUCUCUGGGCCUUACCUGACGCUCAGGCGCGAAAGCCAGGGGAGCAAACGGGA
RNAcentral lists this ribosomal RNA (253 nucleotides) under uncultured prokaryote. Its description in RNAcentral is "partial 16S ribosomal RNA". It matches the Rfam family "Bacterial small subunit ribosomal RNA", at positions 525 to 777 of the family's 1533-position model. The record is from RNAcentral.